This 543-nucleotide ribosomal RNA is filed under the name uncultured archaeon. Its description in RNAcentral is "bacterial SSU rRNA". It matches the Rfam family "Archaeal small subunit ribosomal RNA", at positions 333 to 878 of the family's 1478-position model. The record is from RNAcentral.
CACCAGGCGCGAAACCUCUGCAAUAGGCGAAAGCUUGACAGGGUUACUCUGAGUGACGUCCGUUAAGGACGUCUUUUGGCACCUCUAAAAAUGGUGCAGAAUAAGGGGUGGGCAAGUCUGGUGUCAGCCGCCGCGGUAAUACCAGCACCCCGAGUGGUCGGGACGAUUAUUGGGCCUAAAGCAUCCGUAGCCGGUUCUGCAAGUCUUCCGUUAAAUCCACCUGCUCAACAGAUGGGCCGCGGAGGAUACUACAGGGCUAGGAGGCGGGAGAGGCAAGCGGUACUCAGUGGGUAGGGGUAAAAUCCUCUGAUCCACUGAAGACCACCAGUGGCGAAGGCGGCUUGCCAGAACGCGCUCGACGGUGAGGGAUGAAAGCUGGGGGAGCAAACCGGAUUAGAUACCCGGGUAGUCCCAGCUGUAAACGAUGCAGACUCGGUGAUGGGUUGGCUUCGAGCCAACCCAGUGCCGCAGGGAAGCCGUUAAGUCUGCCGCCUGGGGAGUACGGUCGCAAGACUGAAACUUAAAGGAAUUGGCGGGGGAGCA